This 1230-nucleotide ribosomal RNA is filed under the name metagenome. RNAcentral describes it as "bacterial SSU rRNA". It matches the Rfam family "Bacterial small subunit ribosomal RNA", at positions 270 to 1498 of the family's 1533-position model. The record is from RNAcentral.
AAGGCUUCGAUCAGUAGCUGGUCUGAGAGGACGACCAGCCACACUGGAACUGAGACACGGUCCAGACUCCUACGGGAGGCAGCAGUGGGGAAUUUUGGACAAUGGGCGCAAGCCUGAUCCAGCAAUGCCGCGUGAGUGAAGAAGGCCUUCGGGUUGUAAAGCUCUUUUGUCAGGGAAGAAACGGUGGACUCUAAUACAGAUCACUAAUGACGGUACCUGAAGAAUAAGCACCGGCUAACUACGUGCCAGCAGCCGCGGUAAUACGUAGGGUGCAAGCGUUAAUCGGAAUUACUGGGCGUAAAGCGUGCGCAGGCGGUUGUGCAAGACAGAUGUGAAAUCCCCGGGCUCAACCUGGGAAUUGCAUUUGUGACUGCACGGCUAGAGUGUGUCAGAGGGGGGUAGAAUUCCACGUGUAGCAGUGAAAUGCGUAGAGAUGUGGAGGAAUACCGAUGGCGAAGGCAGCCCCCUGGGAUAACACUGACGCUCAUGCACGAAAGCGUGGGGAGCAAACAGGAUUAGAUACCCUGGUAGUCCACGCCCUAAACGAUGUCUACUAGUUGUUGGGUCUUAAUUGACUUAGUAACGCAGCUAACGCGUGAAGUAGACCGCCUGGGGAGUACGGUCGCAAGAUUAAAACUCAAAGGAAUUGACGGGGACCCGCACAAGCGGUGGAUGAUGUGGAUUAAUUCGAUGCAACGCGAAAAACCUUACCUACCCUUGACAUGUACGGAAUCCCUGAGAGAUUAAGGAGUGCUCGAAAGAGAGCCGUAACACAGGUGCUGCGUGGCUGUCGUCAGCUCGUGUCGUGAGAUGUUGGGUUAAGUCCCGCAACGAGCGCAACCCUUGUCAUUAGUUGCUACGAAAGGGCACUCUAAUGAGACUGCCGGUGACAAACCGGAGGAAGGUGGGGAUGACGUCAAGUCCUCAUGGCCCUUAUGGGUAGGGCUUCACACGUCAUACAAUGGUACAUACAGAGGGCCGCCAACCCGCGAGGGGGAGCUAAUCCCAGAAAGUGUAUCGUAGUCCGGAUUGUAGUCUGCAACUCGACUACAUGAAGUUGGAAUCGCUAGUAAUCGCGGAUCAGCAUGUCGCGGUGAAUACGUUCCCGGGUCUUGUACACACCGCCCGUCACACCAUGGGAGCGGGUUUCACCAGAAGUAGGUAGCCUAACCGUAAGGAGGGCGCUUACCACGGUGGGAUUCGUGACUGGGGUGAAGUCGUAACAAGGUA